Molecule: transfer RNA, 76 nt
Filed under: Pedosphaera sp.
Lineage: Bacteria; Pseudomonadati; Verrucomicrobiota; Pedosphaerae; Pedosphaerales; Pedosphaeraceae
Also listed under: 4 other names
Description: tRNA-Arg
Rfam family: tRNA
About the family: Transfer RNA (tRNA) molecules are approximately 80 nucleotides in length. Their secondary structure includes four short double-helical elements and three loops (D, anti-codon, and T loops).
Source: RNAcentral
GCCCCCAUAGCUCAAAUGGAUAGAGCAGCGGUUUCCUAAACCGUUGAUUCCCGUUCAAUUCGGGAUGGGGGUACCA